GUCGCCCCAGUGUUCAGACUACCUGUUCAGGACAAUGCCGUUGUACAGUAGUCUGCACAUUGGUUAGACUGGGCAAGGGAGAGCAACGCCAUGGACCGCUGGGGACAAAAUGGGCUGUUUCCAAGGAGAAGACAUUUGUUUGCUCCUUUUUUGAAUCUCAUAUCCAGUGUUUUUCUUCACAGGUUUUGCACACUAGGGACCAAGAAGCCCUCGGGGACACUGCUGAGAAAAGACUGCCGAAGGGAAGACCAGCGGGGAUCAUGGAAUCUAUUCCAGAGGAAACUAACCAACAGUGAGCAUCUUCAACUAAAACUACCCCUGGAUGUAAUAAGUGUUGCAUGCAUCAUUCCUUUAAUUGAGCAGAGUUAACUGGAUCAAAUUAUUUAUGGGAGAGAGAGGAAAAGUUAUAAAGAAUUAUAGUAAUUUUUAAUUUCCACCAAUAUACUCUUUGUAAGUGAAUCACUCUAUAAUUACUUUCUGUUGCACUGAAUGCAGCAACAAUAACACAAUAGUAUUUUAAGGCACUGGUUUUUGGCAUACUCUAACCUUGUAAUUAUUUAAAUAACAGCCAAGUUUACUCAUGUUUUUGAUUCUGUCAAGAAAAAAAAAAAGUUCCUUUACUCGAAAGUGAUGGCCGAAACAGAAUCGGAAAUUUGUUUUCUUGAAAUUACAUAAAUACACAGAAAAUGGCACUUAUUAGCUUUUGUUAAAACAUUACCUUACCUAAUCACUGCAUAAAAGUCCAGAUUUGUAGAAAAUUGUAAUUUUCUCAGUAUCUAAAACUAUUUUGCUUUCCAUUAAGUUUCUAUUUGCUAUUUUCUCAGAAUUUUACAAUUAAAGAUAAAUCACAAACUGUUUGUUUUUCUUAAAGUUCUUUG
Molecule: long non-coding RNA, 878 nt
Filed under: Homo sapiens (human)
Lineage: Eukaryota; Metazoa; Chordata; Mammalia; Primates; Hominidae
Description: HSALNT0296536
Rfam family: mir-199 microRNA precursor family (bases 1-75)
Source: RNAcentral